RNAcentral lists this RNase P RNA (247 nucleotides) under Entamoeba invadens IP1. Its description in RNAcentral is "Nuclear RNase P". It matches the Rfam family "Nuclear RNase P". From Rfam's summary of the family: Ribonuclease P (RNase P) is a ubiquitous endoribonuclease, found in archaea, bacteria and eukarya as well as chloroplasts and mitochondria. Its best characterised activity is the generation of mature 5'-ends of tRNAs by cleaving the 5'-leader elements of precursor-tRNAs. Cellular RNase Ps are ribonucleoproteins. The record is from Rfam by way of RNAcentral. Lineage: Eukaryota; Evosea; Mastigamoebida; Endamoebidae.
AUCAAGGGAAGCUUGGAUUUCGGGGAGGCAACGACUUCAUUCAUGUUGUGCUUAUUCCUGGGGAAGGUCUGAGGAUGCCCGAUUGCUCUGUAGGACAGAGGUUGGCGUAAGCCAACAUAGUGGGAUAGAAAAACCACCAGGUCAUUUCUGUGGCCGUAUGGUGUUGGAAACCGACUGAGGGCUUUUAACUAGCAGUUCAAUACCCAAGCGUCUCGUACGAACUCAAUUCAGACUACUCUUCUUUGAU